This 403-nucleotide ribosomal RNA is filed under the name uncultured bacterium. RNAcentral's name for it is "bacterial SSU rRNA". It matches the Rfam family "Bacterial small subunit ribosomal RNA", at positions 354 to 774 of the family's 1533-position model. The record is from RNAcentral.
GUGGGGAAUAUUGGACAAUGGGGGAAACCCUGAUCCAGCAAUGCCGCGUGAGUGAAGAAGGCCUUAGGGUUGUAAAGCUCUUUCGCCCGCGAAGAUAAUGACGGUAGCGGGAGAAGAAGCCCCGGCUAACUCCGUGCCAGCAGCCGCGGUAAUACGGAGGGGGCUAGCGUUGUUCGGAAUUACUGGGCGUAAAGCGUACGUAGGCGGAUGCGCAAGUUGGGGGUGAAAUCCCGGGGCUUAACCUCGGAAUUGCCCUCAAAACUGCAAGUCUUGAGACCGAGAGAGGUAAGGGGAAUUCCUAGUGUAGAGGUGAAAUUCGUAGAUAUUAGGAAGAACACCAGUGGCGAAGGCGCCUUACUGGCUCGGUACUGACGCUGAGGUACGAAAGCGUGGGGAGCAAACA